Molecule: ribosomal RNA, 318 nt
Filed under: Triticum aestivum (bread wheat)
Lineage: Eukaryota; Viridiplantae; Streptophyta; Magnoliopsida; Poales; Poaceae
Description: partial small subunit ribosomal RNA
Source: RNAcentral
AAAAAAACUCUCUCUCACCAAUCUCACCCCACCCCUCGGUCGAGCUACUCUCCCCCACGAUCUCCUCGCCGCCGCCGCUGCCGCCCACGCCGGCACGCUCGUCGCCGCUGCCACCGCCCACACCGGCACGCUCGUCGUCGCCGUCGUCGUCUCGGGAUCUACCUCCUCAUCGGCUUCCUCUCCCCCAUGGUCGACCCCAAGCUCGACCCGUCCGUGGCCCAUGACGGGCACGCCCUCCCCAACCGCAGAUCUGGCGAGUUCAAGCACUUCGUCAGGAGGCUCCCGGAGUUCAAGUUCUGUCAGAGGGGAGAAAGCUAA